GUAAGUGAUGAAGAAAUAUAAUUGGAAAUUUUAAUUCUAAUUUCUCGUCCCUUUACAG
This 58-nucleotide microRNA precursor is filed under the name Gyrodactylus salaris (gyrodactylosis fluke). Its description in RNAcentral is "microRNA gsa-mir-9396 precursor". Lineage: Eukaryota; Metazoa; Platyhelminthes; Monogenea; Gyrodactylidea; Gyrodactylidae. The record is from miRBase by way of RNAcentral.